RNAcentral lists this transfer RNA (74 nucleotides) under Dialister invisus. RNAcentral describes it as "tRNA-Ala". It matches the Rfam family "tRNA". Rfam says of the family: Transfer RNA (tRNA) molecules are approximately 80 nucleotides in length. Their secondary structure includes four short double-helical elements and three loops (D, anti-codon, and T loops). Lineage: Bacteria; Bacillati; Bacillota; Negativicutes; Veillonellales; Veillonellaceae. The record is from RNAcentral.
GGGGUGUAGCUCAGCUGGGAGAGCACCUGCCUUGCAAGCAGGGGGUCAGGAGUUCGAUUCUCCUCAUUCCACCA